UAAUAGAGUUUGACUACUAAAAGAACUACACGUGUAUAUUUAGGGUUGAGACUGUCCUUUAAAUAAGGUUUUUUGGAUCUCUUCUCUCCUCUGUCCUUCUCUUUUUAAUUAUUUUUU
Molecule: small RNA, 117 nt
Filed under: Arabidopsis thaliana (thale cress)
Lineage: Eukaryota; Viridiplantae; Streptophyta; Magnoliopsida; Brassicales; Brassicaceae
Description: ATSL051400
Source: RNAcentral